Mastomys coucha (southern multimammate mouse) is the source of this 2236-nucleotide long non-coding RNA. RefSeq lists it as uncharacterized. Lineage: Eukaryota; Metazoa; Chordata; Mammalia; Rodentia; Muridae. The record is from RefSeq and is a predicted model, not a curated record. The transcript has 2 exons.
ACCCCAAAAACCAAAAAAGCCAAAACUCUCCAACCUCAUUGGGCCUAGAUACAUGCUAUAAGUAGCUUUUGUGACUUUUCAGCCCUUUGCCAUUAUGAAAGAUACUGAAGGCAUGGAAAAGCAUAUACAUUAUUAUUAGCUGACACCAGUCUCAAGCAUUCGGAAUACUGAUAAAAGAGCUUGUGAAGUAAUUAACCAAAGUUUUUUUUCAGACUAUAUAUAUGUGUGUGUGUGUGUGUGUGUGUGUGUGUGUGUGUGUGUAUAGUAAGUUAAAGAAGGAAGCUGUUUGCAUAUUAAUCUGAAAUAAAAAUGUAUAGGAUGUUCUUAUAGUGGAGAGGGCAGGCAUACUCUGGGUCCUGAUUCUUUUUUAAACAACAUUAAUAAGGAGUCACAGUUGAAAGCAUCUUUGAGACAGGCCAGCAGUACUGAGAGUUUCUUUGCAGAGGCAUUGAAAACCAAAUAGAAAAAACGAGACCACCUCUAACUAUGGCCCUGUCACUUGUCUGGGAAACGCUGAAUCUUUAGUGACAGUCUUCAAGCUUCCAUAUGUACCUGGAGCUAGGAAACUGGGAUGAACAUAGAAGCUAAUGGCAGUUGGAAGAAAUAUGUUUUUUUUGUGGAUAUUCAUCCUAGAGGAUUAGACAUUAGAUUUCUACUCUGCUAGAAUAAUUUUAAUUCAUAAGCCUUCUAGUAAGAGAUAGAAAGAUGAAUAUUGCCCAGUGACCAUGAAUCUGUCUGCUUUCAUCAGAGCAUUCACAGUCUUGAGGCACCUAACACUUAGGUAAAGCCAACUAAGAAAAUAUAUUCUCAACUUCCUGGCACUCUUAUGAAUUUCUCAUCUAUUUAAAAACACUGAUAUAUAAUCUGACUAUCUGAGAGCUGAUUUUUACAUACAUUUAAGUUGUUGAUUGACUUGAGCCUCUGAGGGACUCUUUUGCUCAGUUUUGAUUGAGCGCUUCUCCUCCUCCAUAGAACUCCUUAGCUAGCACAUUUGAAGUGUUCAUUCCCAGGAGAAAGAUAACGCCAAAUGUGUUAACUCCUUGUCUCUGUGUUAACUAAGAUCUUCAGGGUUUGGCUUUCAAAGCUUCAGUGUUUCUAAGCAUCAAAUAAAAUGUAGAGCAUAUUCUCAAGUCAUGCUUUUCAGGUUCCUUUUAAAAUUUAUGUAUUUUCUUAUAGUUAUUUUUUAUUAGAUAUUUUCUUUAUUUACAUGUCAUAUGAUUUCUCCUUUCCCAGUUUCCCCUCCAAAAAACAAACAAACAAACAAAAACAACAAUGGGCAAAAUGAUCCAGAAGGUCAUGGGAUAAAGGAUAAGAAAACAAACAAGAUGAAAACAUUUUAAGGCAACUCCACAUACAUGUUCAAGCUUUGACCAUCUCGAUUUCCUUUAUGGUGAUGGUUGUAAGUCUAAUAAAUACCAGCUUCUAUUUGAAAGGAGCCCCAUGGGAUCAAGCUCCUCCAGCAAGGAUAAGAGAUUUGUGAUAGAAAGAAGAAAACAGAAUAAACUCUCCCCCAUAAUAUCUUGUCAUCCCACUUCAUACCAUGUUCAUGUCCCACUCUAACGGAUGCCUGUUAAUAAACAAGAUGCUUACUUACCUCAUAGUGGUCCAUUUCACAGUUCAUUCUGUGAUGGUCUAACUUGGCUAUACUUCCUCAUGGCAUGGAUAGCAAAUAUGGGAACUUGUCUGAAAGCAAGUAGUUCUAGCUCAAGUCAAUUUCAGAGUAGAAUAAUCAAGGCACAGUACUCUCAUAACAUCGCCAUGGAGAUCACUCAUAAUGUCACCUUAGAGAUAUCUUCUGAAGUCACACCCUAUCUAUCACCUAAGGACUUCCUACCAGCACCCAUCUCUUCAGAAUUCUAGCACUUCCCAGUACUUCUUCAUUUGGAGUCCUUAAAGGGAUCAUUCUACUUUGUGACACUGAACAUAGUCCUUAAUAAUACAUUUCUAUCCACAUGCGUAUAUACAUAGCAAAGAUAGACAAACCUCCAGUGUAAUACAAGAAUACAAAGGAUUUCUAGAAUGGCAACACAUGUGGACUCUAAAUUAAACAGACUUGCUUCUGCCAAUCCUUAGUCAUGUGAUCUUGAAUAAAUGACAUAUGGAACCAUCAUUUUUCAUCAGUAUGUUGGAGACAAUAAGAUAUUGUCAAGUUGAAGAUUUAAGUCAGGAUUAUUGAUUAAUUCUAACUCAGUAUUUGGUACAAAAGUUGAAACACAAUAAACAUUCAAUAGCAGGA